This is a long non-coding RNA of Sarcophilus harrisii (Tasmanian devil), 581 nucleotides long. RefSeq lists it as uncharacterized. The record is from RefSeq and is a predicted model, not a curated record. The transcript is spliced from 3 exons. NCBI's taxonomy places the organism in Eukaryota, Metazoa, Chordata, Mammalia, Dasyuromorphia, Dasyuridae.
UUGGCAGGCUACAAAGUGGUAAUAACAAGUUUUGGAAACUAAAGUUGGAUUCUGGAGUAUUAAAGAUAGUGCAGAGACUUUAACCCAAAGUCAACACUUGUGAGAAAUUUGGAAUGAUCCACUUCCCACAAUCUCCUCAGCUCAGAGUCUGACAAUUGUAAUUAUUUUUCAUCAGCCUGACAGCCAAGUUUGCUUCCUGUUGUGAUAAUAUACCUGCUACUAUCCUGAUGACAUUGGAGAAAUUGUUCUUUCUUUGAUAGAAACCUUGUGGAGAAUGCAAUAAUUUGAUUCCUGACUUUGAAAGGAGGAAAGCCUUUAUAUAAAAUCUGGUCUUUUGAUUAUUACUAAGUGGGCAUCCACUGUCGUGACCGUUUUUCACCAGUAGAAGAAAAAACUAUGAGGGCUUCUCAAAAGUUUGAAAGACUCCAUCAAGAAGUGGGAGAUUCACUAUCUUUGGAAGUUUACAUAGAGGUAUUUCUUUGAUCAUCUAUCAGGAAAAAGAGGUUUCUAUUUAGCUGUGGUAUGGACUACAUGACUUUGGGGGUCUCUAUGAUUCUAUGAAAUUCCCUCUCUUUUCCUAA